AGACUGCUUCCAGACAGCCACAUCCGGAAAAUAGGGGUUUGAGUUUUUUGAAACCAGCGCCAAGGAUAACAUCAACGUGAAGCAAACCUUUGAGCGCCUCGUAGAUAUCAUCUGUGACAAAAUGUCAGAGAGCUUGGAGACUGACCCAGCCAUCACAGCCGCCAAGCAGAGCACGAGGCUCAAGGAAACCCCUCCUCCACCACAGCCCAACUGUGGCUGCUAAUGUCCCCCCGCACAGGAGCUCCAAGGGGCUCCAGAGCAGCCAAGAAACAGCAUUUAUAAAUGGUCUAUUAGCCUUC
RNAcentral lists this long non-coding RNA (299 nucleotides) under Rattus norvegicus (Norway rat). RNAcentral's name for it is "long non-coding RNA NONRATT016096". Lineage: Eukaryota; Metazoa; Chordata; Mammalia; Rodentia; Muridae. The record is from RNAcentral.